UGGAGUGGGCGCAUGAUCGCUCCGGCACUUGCCGGAGAGGAAAGUCCGGACUCUACAGGGCAGGAUGGUUCGUAACGCGAACCUUGGGCGACCAAGGGAAAGUGCCACAGAAAACAGACCGCCUGUUUUUCAGGUAAGGGUGAAAAGGCGAGGUAAGAGCUCACCGCCUUCAUGGUGACAUGAAGGGCACGGUAAACCCCAUCCGGAGCAAGACCAAAUAGGGAGAUGUUUGAGGGCUGCCCGUCCGAAAUCUCCGGGUAGGUUGCAAGAGGUGUUGGGCGACCAACAUCCCAGUGAAAUGAUCAUGGCCCCGCAAGGGGUACAGAAUCCGGCUUACAGCCCACUCCAUUUU
This 352-nucleotide RNase P RNA is filed under the name Desulforhopalus sp. IMCC35007. RNAcentral describes it as "Bacterial RNase P class A". It matches the Rfam family "Bacterial RNase P class A". From Rfam's summary of the family: Ribonuclease P (RNase P) is a ubiquitous endoribonuclease, found in archaea, bacteria and eukarya as well as chloroplasts and mitochondria. The record is from Rfam by way of RNAcentral. Lineage: Bacteria; Pseudomonadati; Thermodesulfobacteriota; Desulfobulbia; Desulfobulbales; Desulfocapsaceae.